RNAcentral lists this ribosomal RNA (852 nucleotides) under Triticum aestivum (bread wheat). RNAcentral's name for it is "partial small subunit ribosomal RNA". Lineage: Eukaryota; Viridiplantae; Streptophyta; Magnoliopsida; Poales; Poaceae. The record is from RNAcentral.
AUGGCUAGUAAUUGGAGUUUCAGACAAUUUGGGGAGGUAAUUUGUAGCCAAUAUCCUUGGGGUUUGCUUGAUGAAGUGGUAUACAAAUACUAUGAUGGGGAAAAGAAUUGGGUGACAGUUAGUAAUGAUGAAGAGCUAGCUACCAUGUUUGUUAGGCAUAAAGAGAAAGAUAAUUUUCAUGUGAGGCUGCAAGUUGAUGUUCUUGAGCAGGCAUUUGGACCUAGGAUGGCGGGUGCAACAUCUCGGGGAGAAUCAAGUCGUCGUAAUGGCAUCUCUAGCCAGAACAGUUCAGUUGGUGCACGGCGACGUGGUGGCUCGACAAGUGUGGGCAACAGCAGUAGGGUCCCCCUUGAAGUGGAGCCUGAUGGCUACAAUUCUGGGGUUGAUGAAGAGAAGUUAUAUUCUGAUGUUAUUCAGAAUUUACGACGGGCACCUCGGGAUGAAAACCAAGAUGAGGCUCACAAUGCAGUCCGUGUGGAUGAUGACGCGAUGGGUGAGGACGAAGACCUUGCAGCUGUUGAAUGGGACCCUUUGAACCCUCAAAUGGAAGAAGGUACAGUUUUUGCAUCCAUGAAUGAGUGUAGAAAUGCACUUGUGACAUACUGCAUCAAGGUAGAACGUACUUUCAAAGUUGACAAGAGCGAUCAAGUACGUUACAGAAUGCACUGUCCGACUGAGGGUUGUCCAUGGAGGCUGCUUGCAGCUAAAAUGCGGAAUAUCACUAAUGUUCAGGUCAAAGUGAAUCCUUUUAAGCACACAUGCCAGGAAUCAACCCUUAGGAAGGAUACAAUCAGUAGAGCCAAGUCAAGAUGGGUGGCAGAAGAAGUAAAAAAGUGGGUGAAAGAAAACUAG